CUGCGAAGAGCUGAGGCUGGAAAUCCCCCCACCCCCCGCCCUCCUCCCUGCCUGGCUCCCUCCCUCCCUCGCCUCCCCCCUCCGCCCUCCUCCCUCCGCCCUUCCUCCCCAGUGUUUGUUUCAAGCUUGUGCAAGCGGGAGGUGGAGGCGGAGGGAGGGCGCGCGCGGCCGGGCCGGGAGGUGCGGAAGUUCGCCGCCGCCGCUCAUUGGCGGGCCGCGCCGCUUUCAUCAUUUCUCGGAAAAGUCAAUUUCAUUUUCACUUCCCCACGUCGCGGCAGCAGGAGCAACAAGCGGCUGCUCGAAUAAAAGGAACAAUGAACUGACAAGACAGCAGUACUUCGAUAGUCACGCAAGAACUGGGCCCGCCGAGGACCGGCGACCUUAACCUUAACUGAACCGUCGUCAGGAGUUGAGGGUGUCACCAUUUGGAGGGCUGUCGCCAUCUCUGGCACCACCUGGCGCUCUGUUCCGGAGGGAAGGUGAUAAAAGGGGGUGUCCCCACCCCCACCCCGGGUCGGUCUACAGCAGCACAUGCGAGACCGAGUUAUCGCCGGUGCAACAGAAGUUCCUUUACUGCAGGAGGAGGUGCGCAAGGGUGUGAGUUAAUCUUACAUCCAGAUGGCUUUAUCCUGGCCGGUCCAGGAGAGGGGCUUCGUACUGGGAUGCGUUCGUUCAGCCAGGUUGAGAUUUGGCCCCUUUAACUUAGUAGCUGGGCCUGCUCCCUCAAAGUUGUUCGACCAAAGGCCUCGGUUUUCAAUGCUGUGAAACGGGGAGAAGUGAUAGAACCCAAGAAUACAACUACAGCACCUGCCCCCUUCAGGGUGUGUGAGCUCACACCAGCACAAUUCAUUUGAGACCUACCGCUUUGGGGUCCUUUGCCUUAACAGUGUCAAUUCUCAUCUAAUUAUACCUCUUUCUUCCCUCAACUGCAGUUUAACCAGCCUUCUCCCAACUUCUCUCUGCCACCAAGAAAGACCCUUCCUGGGAGGCCGUAGCUAUUGCAUGUGAACACUUCUAAAAACAUAGCGCCAAAAUCCCUCUUUGCCACUGAAGUAUUGAAUUCUGUGGAUUGGAAGAAAUAAAAGUCUCUCAGUGUGCAUAUGUGAUGAGGAGAUGGCUGAGUGUUUAGGAUUCUGCUUCGUGGCUGUGAUCUCGGAAACAGAUCUCACAUAUGCACAUUGCUUCUUCUUCCCUCUCCUGUAAUACUGUCUGACACAGACACUUGCUUCCUUAUUUCAUAGAACAUUGACCACUCCAGGCACUGAGCGUCCUUAUAGACAAAGUCUGUAGGGCGGCUGUCGCCCUUUACCCACCUAGGGACACAAGUUAAAAACCCAGUAGUCAUUCGUGAUGUCUUCUUUCCCCCAACGUACAUCCAAUGGGUAGCACCCUACUGACCUGUUGAUGCUAAUACAUGUGGGCCUGGCCCCUUCAUCCCCAAUGCACUCCCUGUGACCAGUGAAGGCAGCUGUUGCCAACCAUGCCCACCCUUGGGCUCCUCCGGGUUAGCAGCCACGCUACUGUCCAAUGCAGUAGAAAACUGACUUCAAAUAAAGCAUGAUUCUAACCCUAAUUCUGCUUCUCAUAAACCGCCCUGUAACCUUCAGAAUAAAGUCCAUUUUUUUAUUA
This is a long non-coding RNA of Mustela lutreola (European mink), 1629 nucleotides long. RefSeq lists it as uncharacterized. The record is from RefSeq and is a predicted model, not a curated record. Lineage: Eukaryota; Metazoa; Chordata; Mammalia; Carnivora; Mustelidae. The transcript has 2 exons.